CAUGGCGUGGCUUCAGGGUCUCCCAGAGUCCUUCCCGUGUAGGAUGCAGCCAGGAGAAGUCACAGAGGGUGGCCUGGCAAGGUGGACGGCUCUCAGCAGUGCGCUCUCCAAGCACACUUUCUCGCCAUGACACCGGAAGAGCCCGCCUACUUUGGCCCACGUGAUUGGACAGUUCCUACACCCCGCCUCUUGAUCGCUGAUUGGCUCCUGCUCCAUGGCUCUCGCUUUGAGGCAACAGUGAGAAGAGAAACCCCUGCGUGCAUGGACAGAGUUCAAAUGGUAGAUUGCAACCCAGGAAUUUCUGGACCAGGCUCUUUCCCACAAUGUCAACCUCACCUCGCCUAAAAAUAAUUGUAUUUAAGCAGUGGCGUCAUCAGACGGUGCAGGCAGCAAACACGUGUAAGACUUGCAAGAUUUGUUGAAAUGCCAUGUAGUGCGCUGUGCCUGUAGGGCUGGUACUGCAGGUGGUAAAAAGAAUUUACCAAUAAUCAAAGAAUAUAGAAAAAGAAGAACUGAUAUACCGCAAGAGAGCAACAGGGUACAAUGAGAGACCAGUGAGGUUCGCUACAUCUGGCGCCUGAACUGGACACCGGGUGAGAGAUAAUGUGCCUAAAAGCAGCCAGAAGUAACCAUGCCACCGCCUGAAAUUGGAUCUCCUUGAAGUUUCUUGCAGAAGAUGUGGCAUUACCAGGAACCACACAGCUGCAGCAGGUCAACAGACAAAACUGGAUACAACCCAGCCCAAAGACAGCUUCUGGCUUCAGAAAGAAAAUGCUGAUCUUUUACUAUUAAGCGAUUUCCCUGAUUUUUUUUUUUGGGGGGGUAUUGUUGUUGUAAACCCCUAGUACAAAAUUGUGUGAUGGCUUUGGAUCCCAGGCAGAGGCCAAGUACCAUAUUCAUUAUGUCUGUAUAUAUUACUCUGUAUUUUCAUUGCUACACACAAGAGGAAACAAGACACUUGCUCCCAUGCACACUAUUUUACGGAUUACUGCAAACUCCUACACUUUGAAAGAAGAGUUUGAAACUGCAGAUUUAGGCCACUGAAGAGAUGUGAAAUCACCAGGUUCCUGCUGAACAUUUAUCUUUUUAGAAAGAGGACGCUGAAGUCAAGAAUCUCAGGCCAAAUAAAUGGAUUUGACAUUGUUUUGUUGGGUUUCUGGGUCAUAGGAUCUCUGAAUCAGUUUCAAAUUGAAGACAUCAGGUCCAUUAAAAAACAGGGUUUGAUUACAGCUGAUUGUAAUCCUCUCAGGUUCUUUCAGUGCAACAGUUCAACCUGUGAUCUACAACAGAAAACAAAUGUCCUUCUACAGGCAGAUUUGGGAGAAGGGGAACUCUGAGCCCCAGUCGUGGAAUGGGAGCUGGAAGCCCAGGAAGGAAUUUGGUAGACACCUGCCAAAGGCUUCCUUAAUAUGAAGACUAGUUGGUAACUUUUAUGUUUAUGUUGGUUUGUUAAUGAUGGACAACUGCAUUUAAAAAUACAUUCCUCUUACCUCUUUUUUUAAAUCAGGCAAGAUUACCUGAAUAAAUCACACAUGUGUCUUAAGAAUUUACUUCAAUGUUAUCCACACAAACCCUUCACUUACUACCUCCUCCAUACAAACAGGCUGAUUAACUUCAUAAUACAAUAAAGAUUUUUACCAGAGUUGAGGUUUAAGAACAAUGGAUUUCCUUGUUUUGGAGACCAAAAUGCGAGUUUCUCCUCUCAUGCUUUUGAGUGCUGUCUCCUGCCAAAAACACCAAUUUCUGCUACAAAAAUGGAAACAGGCUGUAGUUGCAUGCCCCUUUCAAACUAUGCACAUCAGACUCUGUUUGCUACCAGCUUUUGGAAUGAAGGCUGAACUCAAUCCUUAUAAUGUACCCGGAUGAUGAGAACUGUGACAAAGAACUGCAAUUUUAGAUUUUCUCGAAAGGCCUCACUAGUAUUAAGAGUCUUAAAGUAAAUACUUGGUGGAAAGCAACAAAAUAGUUAUGAAAGAGUAAAUAUGAAGACAUAAAGUAUAAUCUGAGGAAGCAUACAAUGGGGAGCUUUACUCUAGCUACAUAAUUCACUCAUCCUAAUAGCAUUACUAGCAAUGUCAGGAUAUAAAAAAAUUCAAUGACAAAAUAAAAACUAAGUAAUCCAAUUUAAAAAUUGUCAAAAUAUAUAGACAGGCA
Molecule: long non-coding RNA, 2154 nt
Organism: Chinchilla lanigera (long-tailed chinchilla)
Lineage: Eukaryota; Metazoa; Chordata; Mammalia; Rodentia; Chinchillidae
Exons: 5
Source: RefSeq, a predicted model, not a curated record